AACGAACGCUGGCGGCAUGCCUAACACAUGCAAGUCGAACGAGACCUUCGGGUCUAGUGGCGCACGGGUGCGUAACGCGUGGGAACCUGCCCUUAGGUUCGGAAUAACUCCCCGAAAGGGGUGCUAAUACCGGAUAAUGUCUUCGGACCAAAGAUUUAUCGCCUUUGGAUGGGCCCGCGUUGGAUUAGCUAGUUGGUAGGGUAAAAGCCUACCAAGGCGACGAUCCAUAGCUGGUCUGAGAGGAUGAUCAGCCACACUGGGACUGAGACACGGCCCAGACUCCUACGGGAGGCAGCAGUGGGGAAUAUUGGACAAGGGGCGAAAGCCUGAUCCAGCAAUGCCGCGUGAGUGAUGAAGGCCUUAGGGUUGUAAAGCUCUUUUACCCGGGAUGAUAAUGACAGUACCGGGAAAAUAAGCUCCGGCUAACUCCGUG
This 433-nucleotide ribosomal RNA is filed under the name uncultured bacterium. Its description in RNAcentral is "partial 16S ribosomal RNA". It matches the Rfam family "Bacterial small subunit ribosomal RNA", at positions 29 to 507 of the family's 1533-position model. The record is from RNAcentral.